This is a long non-coding RNA of Cyprinus carpio (common carp), 229 nucleotides long. RefSeq lists it as uncharacterized. The transcript has 3 exons. Lineage: Eukaryota; Metazoa; Chordata; Actinopteri; Cypriniformes; Cyprinidae. The record is from RefSeq and is a predicted model, not a curated record.
UGAUUGGAUAACUGUGUUAAUUUUCUGUUUUGCUGCUACAUUUGGAGCUGUGCUUCUGUUCUGUUGUCUGAACUACUAUAGAUCAAAAAACACUGUCACCAGCAGCAUAAUCUGGAAUCUUCAGGUUUCUCUGGUCUUUUGUCCAAACAUCUGUAUGUUCUUUGCCUUCAUGCUUUGGGGCUUUACUGAAGGAUCUCUGCAUGAGACUGUCACCUGCUGUGCUCUUUAU